RNAcentral lists this ribosomal RNA (370 nucleotides) under uncultured organism. RNAcentral's name for it is "bacterial SSU rRNA". It matches the Rfam family "Bacterial small subunit ribosomal RNA", at positions 526 to 896 of the family's 1533-position model. The record is from RNAcentral.
CGGAGGGUGCAAGCGUUAAUCGGAAUUACUGGGCGUAAAGCGCGCGUAGGCGGUUUGAUAAGCGGAGUGUGAAAUCCCCGGGCUUAACCUGGGAACUGCAUUCCGAACUGUCAAGCUAGAGUAUGGUAGAGGGUGGCGGAAUUCCGAGUGUAGCGGUGAAAUGCGUAGAUAUUCGGAGGAACACCAGUGGCGAAGGCGGCCACCUGGACCAAUACUGACGCUGAGGCGCGAAAGCGUGGGAGCAAACAGGAUUAGAUACCCUGGUAGUCCACGCUGUAAACGAUGUCAACUAGCCGUUGGAGUCUUUAAGGCUUUAGUGGUGCAGCUAACGCGAUAAGUUGACCGCCUGGGGAGUACGGUCGCAAGAUUA